RNAcentral lists this long non-coding RNA (1301 nucleotides) under Setaria viridis. Its description in RNAcentral is "long non-coding RNA (SVIR_LNC007724)". Lineage: Eukaryota; Viridiplantae; Streptophyta; Magnoliopsida; Poales; Poaceae. The record is from RNAcentral.
AAAUGCCUAGGGCCUCUCCUCCCUAUCACAAGCACUAGCGUCCACUCCACAAGAGCAGUUGGAGGGUCUCGCAAGACUUACAAACUCUGAAUUUACAUCUCUUUGUGCACGCAAUCACCGAUACAAAGUAGGUGUGCAAAUCUCGCCUAACUCUAGUCUAAUCCCUAAAGUAAUGCGCUAAUAGGCCAAAACAAGCACUAAUCAAGACCUAAACCUUAUGCUAAUUGCCUUAAUCUUCUCUUUAGCACUUUGGUGGCCAAAGCACUUGUGUGUAUGUGAGAAUCAAGCCUAUAGCUUCUCAAACCUCUAACACCCCUCAAAUGGCCAGGCAAUAGGGUAUAUAUAGCCCCAACUCCCAGAAUUAGCCGUUGCAUAGCCGUUGUAACUUUCUGCGUAUCACUAACUCAUCCACUGCCCUAGUCUUUGUACCCACCAUAUGAAUCGGUGAGGCCCAAAUUAUACUCCAAACCUUCGAGAGCCGAUUUUGAGCCGAUGCUGAGCCAAGCCGUCGAUCAUCGACUUAUUCGGUGAUGGUCACUGUUCCCACCAAAUGAGUUGGUGGUAACACUGCACACGCCUACCUUUACCAUGCCACUGUCAUGUGGUCACCGAUUGAAUCGGUGAUGAUCACUAUUCCCACUAAAUGAGUCGGUGGUAACAGUGCUCACACCGAUCUUGGCUUAGCCUGUGAUCACCGACUGAAUCGGUGAUGGUUACUGUUUCGACCGUAUGAAUCGGUGCAAUGUGUUGGUGCAUAUUUCUAGCAGGAUUCGCUUCAAGUCUUUUUGUGUCUUUAUCCCGGCAUAUUUUUAGCAAGAUUCGCUUCAAUAUAUCUGGAUUUUUUGCUAUCAUUUGGAUACCACAGAAUUCUUCUAAGUCUUUCUUUUUCUUCUCAUUUUGAUGAUUUUGUAAUUCAUCUUUGGGACCAAUAAAACACCUAUAAAGAUACAUCUCAAAAACACAUUAGUCCUAAUGAGCAUGUUGUCAUUAUUCACCAAAAUGAUUAUGGCCUAGGGCCAUUUCCCUUACAUCUCCCCCUUUUUAGUGAUUGAUGACAACAUAAUCAAAGCAAGAGAUAAUAUAGAAAUUAAGCACAGCUUCUUGCUUGGAUGUUAUGCAAGAGCAAGAAUCAUGUACUAAUUGAAAUAUGCAAUUAACAUCAAAUUGAAGUAAACUAUAUGCAAUUAAUUCCAAUGCCACUUUUCUCCCUUUCUUGGACCAAAUUCUUGCAAUCUCCCCCAAGCUUGAAAUGUAGAAUCUCCCCUACACUUGAGGUUCUUGCUUUCUUGCAUGCCCCCCCC